GUGUGUGCGGGCGUGGCAUCAUCAAGAUUCACAUCCAUCCCAUCCAGGCAUGAAUCGCUCUGUUUGUUUCCAAAAUGAUGAAACAGCAAUCAGCAUGUAGAUGUGCAUGAGAAUCUUGAUGAUGCUGCAUCCGCACACAA
This is a non-coding RNA of Triticum urartu, 140 nucleotides long. Lineage: Eukaryota; Viridiplantae; Streptophyta; Magnoliopsida; Poales; Poaceae. The record is from Rfam.